This 673-nucleotide long non-coding RNA is filed under the name Marmota monax (woodchuck). The record is from RNAcentral. Lineage: Eukaryota; Metazoa; Chordata; Mammalia; Rodentia; Sciuridae.
UACCACAUGCACAUCAAAUAGAACACUAAUCUCUAGGAUAUAUAAAGAACUCAAAAAUCUUAACACCAAAUCAUCAUCAUCAUCAUCAUCAUCAAUAAAUGGGCCAUGGAAGUGAACAGACACUUCUCAGAAGAUGAUAUAUAAUCAAUCAAUAAAUAUAUGAAAAAAUGUUCAACAUCUAGCAAUUAGAAAAGUGCAAGUCUAAACUACUCUAAGAUUUUAUCUCACUCUUGUCAGAAUGGCAGCUAUUAUGAAUACAGGGAACAAUAAAUGUUGGCGAGGAUAUGAGGAAAAAGGCACCCUCAUACAUUGCUGAUGGGAUUGCAAAUUGGUGCAACCACUAUGGAAAACAGUAUGGAGAUUCCCUAGAAAACUUUGAACGGACCCAGCUAUCCCACUCCUCAGUUUAUACCCAAAGGACUUAUAAACAGCAAACUACAGUGACACAGCCACAUCAGUGUUGACAGCAACAAGAUUCACAAUAGCUAAAUUUUCAACCCACCUAGAUGCCAUUCAGUAGAUGAAUGGAUAAAGAAAAUGGUAUAUUACACAAUGGAAUGUUACUCAGCAUUAAAAUCAAAUCAAAUCAUGGCAUUUGCAGGUAAAUGGAUGGGGUUGAAGAAUAUUAUGCUAAGUGAAGUGAGUGAAUUCCAAAAAAAUAAGUGCUGAAUGU